This 266-nucleotide ribosomal RNA is filed under the name uncultured Planctomycetota bacterium. RNAcentral describes it as "uncultured planctomycete partial 16S ribosomal RNA". It matches the Rfam family "Bacterial small subunit ribosomal RNA", at positions 565 to 829 of the family's 1533-position model. The record is from RNAcentral. Lineage: Bacteria; Pseudomonadati; Planctomycetota.
GAGCACGUAGGUGGGUUUGUAAGUCAGAUGUGAAGGCCUUCUGUUCAACGGAAGAAUUGCAUCUGAAACUGCAGAUCUUGAGUGUAGGAGGGGAGAAUGGAACUUCUGGUGGAGCGGUGAAAUGCGUAGAUAUCAGAAGGAACGCCGGCGGCAAAAGCGAUUCUCUGGCCUAUUACUGACACUCAGUGUGCGAAAGCUAGGGGAGCAAACGGGAUUAGAUACCCCGGUAGUCCUAGCCGUAAACGAUGGGCACUAAGUAGAGGGGU